CACGUGACUGAGGACUGCGCACAUGUACUUCUGUUUUUAUUUUGCAGAUGGGGGGAUGGGGACAGGACAAUCGGACAACUAAGUGCGUGAUGUGGAUUGACUGCAUACCUUUCACCCGAGGAAGAAUGAGGAGUGCACUCAUCAGACUAUGAACCUUAAAGGCACGCUACGUAAACUGUUAUUUGAGUCCCCUUUCAUGUUUGAGGAGCUUUCAUCAAGAAAUUAAUGUCUGUUCCAGAUGCCAUGUCUCCUUUUAAUUGUUUUUAGCAUUAUGACAUGUGUCCUUCGACUGUGUUCUCUGGGGUAUCGGGACAAAUGCUGUAAGGAAACACAUAGAUUAAACAGCAGGUAAGGGCUCAUGACUAUCUUUAAUUUCAGCGCCUCUUACAACUGCUUUCAAUACAUUGCAUUUUCAUUUACAUAGCAUGUUUGCCUUGCUUUGAACUUUUAAAUGGUUACUAGCCCUCUAUGGCAUGACUUUGUAUUUUGUCGGGGAAAAAAUAUUUUCCUGCAUUCUUUGGGAGCUUGUUGGCCCUUAAUUACAUAUCAAUCAUAAAAUUGGACCCUGACACCUCCCGGAACCGGAUUUGGAUUUGUUGCCUCAGGGCAACAUUGUGCUACAAGGGGUCUAGAACGCCAAGUUUUCUACAGUGAUUAUGAGAAAUAUAAUACAAAUCAAACAAAAACUAUAUUCAUAAAAAAACUUUUUGACAAAAAUAAAUCAGACAUGGUUCCAACUCAAAUAUAAAAUGACCAACUAACAUACAUUUAAGCAAAUUUCUAAAACAUACAUUUGUGUGUUUGUACGUGUGUAUAUUUGGUGGAGUUAGAAUCACUAAGGAUGUUGAAAUCAGUCUUUUACAUCAGGAAGGAAUUUCUUGCUGAUGGGAAAAAGAGUGCAUAUCACAUUUUUGGCACUUGAUUAUUGGCGUACCUGGGAAUCACCAUCUGUUUAUUUGAUUAUCUAUGGGUUGUAGCAACCAGAUUCACAUCAGUCACUAUAGUUAGGGGUGCAGGUUCUUCUUUAAAGAGUUUGUAGUUCUGAUUCUUUGUUAGAAUUUGAACCAAGCAAAGAAUAACAUUUCCACCAGCUCCCAUAUCUGGUAGAUUUGGUGGCUGCACGGCCACCAAAUCUACCAGAUAUAAGGUUGUAAGGAACACCAUCUGCACCAGCCAUACAAAGUGCCCUGCAGACUCGUGUUUUUGGGUUUGGCAGGUAUUGCUUCAGUCUUUGCCUGCCUUGGAAUGGGGCCAUUUGUUUAUUGAUGACCAGUUUAUCACUCUUUGGGACUGAAGUCAGUUUUGAUGAUAAACAAACAAUGAAAUAAUGGUUGGACAGUAGAUCCUCAUGUUUUCAUCAAGAAUGACCCCAACUUAUGAACCAUGCACAUUUUGUCCAUGAAAUGACCUGGCAUCAAUCUCCUGUUGCUGUUAGUCAAUAAUAAAGUAAAAAAAUUGGCUGCGAUAAUUAUUUUGUAAUCAAUUGCAUAUCAUCGUAUUAGAAUAAUAUUGUCUGAGCAAAAGGGCCCUAACUGUGCAAUGUUGCCCUGAGGCAACAAACAAAAAAAACACAGUUUUAGCAUAUAAAAUAUUUAAAAAAUUGUCUCGAAAUGAUCUAUCAUGCUUCUUUACAUACUCACAGAUAUGAAAAUAUUUUUAGUUGGAGUGACCAAAAUUGAAACAAAGAAAAGUGAUGUAUAACUUACAAGUAGGAGGCAAGGGGUAGCAUGAACCUCUGCUUCAUAAAAAAGAACUGCUCUUCUUCUAAGUAAAAGGUCACAUGAACCUCAAUACCUCUUUUAUUUGGACAAAAAUAUGUCUGGAGGUAUUUUAAAUCAUCAACCCCCAAAAAUAAAAUAAAGGAGCAACGUGAGGUUGCAUAGACAGACAAUAACCGUGAAUAAAAAAACAAAAAUUGUUUGGAUAGGCAACAUUUUAAAAAAUGAGCAGUGGAAAUAUAAGAAAGGCUCGGUGACGUUUUUGUAUCAUGAAGAAAGUAAAACCUUCCUGCUAUUAUAAGCAAUCAUUUAGUCUUGCAAGUGAUUUAAAUUAGUUUUAAUCUGGAAUUGUAAAACAGGAUUUCCAAGGUGAAUGUGAUUCAGUAUGUUUGGAGCUAAUGUCGGUGUUCUUACAAAUAAUUUUCUUUAGUUACUCGUUUUUAGAACAUCAGUUCUUAAAUAUCUUUGUGCUCCUAGGCCUUCAGGGAGGAUUUUAAAAUUUUUUAUAACCUAUCAUUUUUUAAAAACCUCAUACCAUCACAAUGCAUCUUGAAUUUAUUGCAAGCUAGAAAUGCAGAAUUGGCCAGAAUUACAGAUCAUUCUAAAAAAAUUUGCAUAUUGUGAUAAAGUU
Poecilia reticulata (guppy) is the source of this 2349-nucleotide non-coding RNA. NCBI's taxonomy places the organism in Eukaryota, Metazoa, Chordata, Actinopteri, Cyprinodontiformes, Poeciliidae. The record is from RefSeq and is a predicted model, not a curated record.